AUGCAUCAAGCUGUUGAUCUAACCAGCCAUGACCAAGAAAAGACGUCACCGCAGACACAAUGUAAAUGCAACACAAAAACAACUCUCAGCAAACAAACUGCCGGCAGCGAAGGAGUCAGAGACAGGCUCAACAAGCUGCCUAAUGACCUUCUGCUCAACAUUCUGGAGAGGGUCGACACGCUUGAUGCAAUAAGGGCCUGCCUCCUCUCGAAACGAAUGAUGCACCUUUGUACCAAGCUCUCACGCUUCUUCCUAAGCUGUAGUUCCAUUCCAGGUCACCAUGUUAGAGCUCAUGUUUUCGACCCCAGUGAAUUUUUCAGAGCCAACAGUGCUGUAGCUCAUGUAACGGAUAACAUCUUGAGCACAAGGAGCCCGGAGAUCACCAUUAGCAAACUCAAAAUCAGAUUCAUCUUGACGCAACCUGAUUGUUACACAAUUGGCAAAUCCGGCGCCCGCGCCAUGACAACACACAAGGUUGGUGCAGCUGAGUUUGAGAUCAUAACAGAGAAAAUUCACAAGUGUUCUCCUGCCGAGCUCCUCGACCAUGCGAAGCAGUUCAAUGAUUUUUUUAGUGCUUGUCCGGAUGCAUUUGAUGGCCUCAAGCGCCUGUGGCUGUGCAAUAUGAGGUUUGGUGAGUCGGACAUACCCAACAUCCUCAGCACCUGCAAGCUCUUGGAGUCUUUGCAUUUAACCAAUUGCGACUCGGGGAUGAAUUCUGUGCUGCAACUAGAACAUGCUAAACUUACUGAGCUCGAGGUCGACUUUGGGAAAUUUGAGAUAGUUGAGCUGACAUGCCUACCAAAACUCCAACGGGUGAGCUAUAAGGGCUGGUUACUCUCAUAA
This 843-nucleotide ribosomal RNA is filed under the name Triticum aestivum (bread wheat). RNAcentral's name for it is "partial small subunit ribosomal RNA". Lineage: Eukaryota; Viridiplantae; Streptophyta; Magnoliopsida; Poales; Poaceae. The record is from RNAcentral.